GUGCUCGCUUCAGCAGCACACACACUAAAACCGGAAGGAUGCAGACAAGAUUAGCAUGGCCUGUGCAUGAGAAUGACACACGAAUUCGUAAAGCAUUCCAUAUUUUU
Small nuclear RNA from Grammomys surdaster, 107 nucleotides. Lineage: Eukaryota; Metazoa; Chordata; Mammalia; Rodentia; Muridae. The record is from RefSeq and is a predicted model, not a curated record.